UACGAAGGGGGCUAGCGUUGCUCGGAAUCACUGGGCGUAAAGGGUGCGUAGGCGGGUCUUUAAGUCAGGGGUGAAAUCCUGGAGCUCAACUCCAGAACUGCCUUUGAUACUGAGGAUCUUGAGUUCGGGAGAGGUGAGUGGAACUGCGAGUGUAGAGGUGAAAAUUCGUAGAUAUUCGCAAGAACACCAGUGGCGAAGGCGGCUUACUGGCCCGAUACUGACGCUGAGGCACGAAAGCGUGGGGAGCAAACAGG
This 254-nucleotide ribosomal RNA is filed under the name uncultured bacterium. RNAcentral describes it as "partial 16S ribosomal RNA". It matches the Rfam family "Bacterial small subunit ribosomal RNA", at positions 524 to 776 of the family's 1533-position model. The record is from RNAcentral.